Molecule: long non-coding RNA, 1468 nt
Organism: Pezoporus flaviventris
Lineage: Eukaryota; Metazoa; Chordata; Aves; Psittaciformes; Psittacidae
Exons: 2
Source: RefSeq, a predicted model, not a curated record
CAUUUAGCGAAAUCAUGGCAUUUUCUGGCCUACCCAAUUAAAAGAAAGAAACAGAGAAGCUGCUAGCACUAGCGUGCCAUUUUUCCAGCUUUAACUCCUCAUGUGCCACAUCCUGCACAGUUACAGUGUUACCAGAAGUAACUUCACGUGGAAGCGUAUCUCAGAGGUAACGCAGGAGACAUUUCAUUUGUAACUCUUAAAACUGUACCGCUUAUUAAAAAGAAAAAGACACAAAAAGAAAAUGUAUAUAAAAAUUAUUUUAAUAAAAAUUUAAAUUUCUCCCUUCAAAAAAUAGGCCAAAUUAAUUCUGGCAUAGUGUGGAAGGUAGGGGAAAAUGACAACAAACCCCCUGAUUUGUCCUUUUAUAUGUUUGGGAUUAAAAAUUUCCUCCCUACCAUCAUCUAUCAUUGUGGAUGCAAAGGAAAUCACAAAUCACAUUGCAAAACAAAUUUUGCAUAGGCAGAAGAGCACUCCUGAGAUGAUGAGACAGGCAGCUGUGUGCCAUUUAGCAAUGAGAUUGGUUCAGACUGCCAGAAAUUCUUGAUUGGAUCCAGACAGUUUGCCAAUACGUUUGAAAGGCUUGAAGAAGUAUGAAGCCAGUUGUCAUGCACCUCGACAGAGCGAUGAGCAACAGUAACGUAUUGCACAGGCUGUUGCUCUAAUUUUUGUGACUGCGAGGUGAUUCUGGUUUUUCCCAUAGCAUUAGAAAACACUGCUUUCCACAUGUUUUUAAUUUCUUAAUGAUUAGUCUGAAUUAUAUUCACUACUGAAAGGGUGAAUAUCCUUCAUUGGGUUUUUCCACAAAACACACCUGAAAUAAAAGCAUUUACUCGGUACGAGGAACACAGUUGUUUUUUAUAAUGGACGACUCUAUCCCUUUCAUUAUUUUAUAGAAACAAAGAAGUGGUAUAACGUUUAGUAUUUUCUUCUGAUGUAUCUGCUAUUAUGGUUCUUACAUCUCAUAAUAAAGAUCUUGCCUAAUGAAAAGAGUCUUUGAAAUAGAUGGUCCAUUUGUCUCUCACAGACAUACUCUACUUGCACUGUUGAACAUGCAUCCAUAAAUCCUGUUGUUCCCUAUUCCAGGAGGGUUCCAGCUCUACCAAUCAUUACUCUUAAUCCAUCACAAAGUCCAGGAGCACUUCCCCUCCAGAACUGGGCAGUCACAGCUUUUUUUUUGUAACAUACUAACAACAAAUUACUGUGGUGAUGACACGGUUGAUCAGGUUUUGUUUAGAAAGUGAGUAACAGGAAAUCAAUGAGAAGUUGAAUAUCCUUCCUCCUUGGGGUUUUGGGUUCUUUUUAGUACAACUUCAUUGAGUGACGGCAGCCAUGUGUUCCAGUGUGAAUGAAUAUAUCUUUCUUCCCUUCCAUCUAACCAACUUUGGCCUAGAGUUCUUACAUUUCAUUUAUGUGUAUGUGCAUAUACAGAAUUUACUAUUCAUUUAUCUAUUAAAUGGGUAAUAUAGAA